ACUCCUACGGGAGGCAGCAGUGGGGAAUAUUGGACAAUGGGCGCAAGCCUGAUCCAGCCAUGCCGCGUGAGUGAUGAAGGCCCUAGGGUUGUAAAGCUCUUUCACCGGUGAAGAUAAUGACGGUAACCGGAGAAGAAGCCCCGGCUAACUUCGUGCCAGCAGCCGCGGUAAUACGAAGGGGGCUAGCGUUGUUCGGAUUUACUGGGCGUAAAGCGCACGUAGGCGGACUAUUAAGUCAGGGGUGAAAUCCCGGGGCUCAACCCCGGAACUGCCUUUGAUACUGGUAGUCUUGAGUUCGAGAGAGGUGAGUGGAAUUCCGAGUGUAGAGGUGAAAUUCGGAGAUAUUCGGAGGAACACCAGUGGCGAAGGCGGCUCACUGGCUCGAUACUGACGCUGAGGUGCGAAAGCGUGGGGAGCAAACAGGAUUAGAAACCCUAGUAGUCCCAUG
Molecule: ribosomal RNA, 448 nt
Filed under: uncultured organism
Description: partial 16S ribosomal RNA
Rfam family: Bacterial small subunit ribosomal RNA
Source: RNAcentral